AGAGUUUGAUCAUGGCUCAGGACGAACGCUGGCGGCGUGCUUAACACAUGCAAGUCGAAUGGAAAGGCCCUUCGGGGUACUCGAGUGGCGAACGGGUGAGUAACACGUGGGUGAUCUGCCCUGCACUUUGGGAUAAGCCUGGGAAACUGGGUCUAAUACCGAAUAGGACCACGCGCUUCAUGGUGUGUGGUGGAAAGCUUUUGCGGUGUGGGAUGGGCCCGCGGCCUAUCAGCUUGUUGGUGGGGUAAUGGCCUACCAAGGCGACGACGGGUAGCCGGCCUGAGAGGGUGACCGGCCACACUGGGACUGAGAUACGGCCCAGACUCCUACGGGAGGCAGCAGUGGGGAAUAUUGCACAAUGGGCGCAAGCCUGAUGCAGCGACGCCGCGUGAGGGAUGACGGCCUUCGGGUUGUAAACCUCUUUCAAUAGGGACGAAGCGCAAGUGACGGUACCUAUAGAAGAAGCACCGGCCAACUACGUGCCAGCAGCCGCGGUAAUACGUAGGGUGCGAGCGUUGUCCGGAAUUACUGGGCGUAAAGAGCUCGUAGGUGGUUUGUCGCGUUGUUCGUGAAAACUCACAGCUUAACUGUGGGCGUGCGGGCGAUACGGGCAGACUAGAGUACUGCAGGGGAGACUGGAAUUCCUGGUGUAGCGGUGGAAUGCGCAGAUAUCAGGAGGAACACCGGUGGCGAAGGCGGGUCUCUGGGCAGUAACUGACGCUGAGGAGCGAGAGCGUGGGGAGCGAACAGGAUUAGAUACCCCGGUAGUCC
Molecule: ribosomal RNA, 771 nt
Filed under: uncultured bacterium
Lineage: Bacteria
Description: bacterial SSU rRNA
Rfam family: Bacterial small subunit ribosomal RNA
Source: RNAcentral